Molecule: long non-coding RNA, 345 nt
Filed under: Phoenix dactylifera (date palm)
Lineage: Eukaryota; Viridiplantae; Streptophyta; Magnoliopsida; Arecales; Arecaceae
Description: long non-coding RNA (PDAC_LNC002592)
Source: RNAcentral
CCCCCAGCCCGAGAUCGCGAGCCGGGGGUCGCGCCAACCGCCGCACACCCGUAGGAAACUCUCCCCACGAGCAUGCAAGGCAUCUAAACCAAACACCUCAAUUAUGUAAUUCUAAAAUAAUUUAACUGAAUAAAUGCAAUCUUAUUCCAUUGACUAACUCAAGUCAUAAGGUCUCACAAGUCUAAAUACGCAGCGGAAUAAUCAUUUACCAACAUGCAGAAACCUAGUUCUUAAACAAAAGUCCGCCAAUCAUAAUAAAUGUCCAUAAUAACAAAUCAACUCAAAUAACCCUAAUCUAAGAUAACUUGUGCCACAAUCCUUCUAGUCGCUCUCCCAAUUUGAAUC